GCUGACGUAGCCCAACUGGUAGAGGCGCGGCGCUCAGACCGCGUCGGUGCGGGUUCGAUUCCCGCCGUCAGUACCA
This 76-nucleotide transfer RNA is filed under the name Actinomycetes bacterium. RNAcentral's name for it is "Actinobacteria bacterium tRNA-Leu". It matches the Rfam family "tRNA". Rfam says of the family: Transfer RNA (tRNA) molecules are approximately 80 nucleotides in length. Their secondary structure includes four short double-helical elements and three loops (D, anti-codon, and T loops). Further hydrogen bonds mediate the characteristic L-shaped molecular structure. tRNAs have two regions of fundamental functional importance: the anti-codon, which is responsible for specific mRNA codon recognition, and the 3' end, to which the tRNAs corresponding amino acid is attached (by aminoacyl-tRNA synthetases). tRNAs cope with the degeneracy of the genetic code in two manners: having more than one tRNA (with a specific anti-codon) for a particular amino acid; and 'wobble' base-pairing, i.e. permitting non-standard base-pairing at the 3rd anti-codon position. The record is from RNAcentral. Lineage: Bacteria; Bacillati; Actinomycetota; Actinomycetes.